AUCCAACGAUGCAGGAGCUGC
RNAcentral lists this microRNA (21 nucleotides) under Corchorus olitorius. Its description in RNAcentral is "mdm-miR31". The record is from RNAcentral. Lineage: Eukaryota; Viridiplantae; Streptophyta; Magnoliopsida; Malvales; Malvaceae. RNAcentral also lists the same sequence under 1 other name.